This 1710-nucleotide long non-coding RNA is filed under the name Salmo salar (Atlantic salmon). Its description in RNAcentral is "lncRNA (ENSSSAG00000095422.1)". Lineage: Eukaryota; Metazoa; Chordata; Actinopteri; Salmoniformes; Salmonidae. The record is from RNAcentral.
UCUGUUUAGUGUGUGAGUAUACCUGACAGAACUGUUUGGCUGUCGUUUGUUAUUUCUUUGCGAAGUGCUUUCAUUCAAAAAAUAAAAGAUGAGCACUCAACACGCUGCGCCUUGGUCUGUUCACUACGACGCCUGUGACAAAGCCAGGUGGGAUAGAGUUAAAAAAGCCCUCCCACUAUGGCAUGGACCAACUAUCUGUCAUUUUGAAGGCAGGCCGUAGCAUCAAGUUUACAGUUUCGGCACCCAGGGGAAACAAUCCCACCACUGGGGAAGAGGUGGUGGGAAAUGAUCAGGAGGAGGCACAAGAACCUGAGCAUGAGGAGGCCGGACACCAUAGACAGGGGGAGAGCGGAGUGUGCCACACGUCCGAUGAUGGACACCUUCUUUACUUCUUCUGAGAAGCACUUGGAGGAGAUUGGGUUGAGGGAGAAACCCAGACAAUUAUAUAACUGCGAUGAUUCUGGGUUUUGUAGCGACCAGGCACAAAGCGCUGGCUCCCCGGGGUGCAAAACACGUGUACCAGCAGGCUCCAGGGACCAAGGAGCACAUCACAGUGCUGGCCUGCUUCAACGCAGCUGGGGAGGAUGUCCCCCUGUUUAUCAUCUACCCCAAGUGUUUCCCCGGUGGCCACUACACACUGGGAGCCCCCCCCCUAAGCUUUGUAUGGACAGUCAAACAGUGGCUACAUUGACAGGGACCUGUUCAGGAAGUGGUUUCAGCACUUUAUUCAUUAUGCAGUGAAGGAGCGCCCUCUCUUUCUCUUCAAUGGACACAAGCCACAUGGACCUGGAGGUGCUCGUGGCGGCACUAAGGGAAGGGGUUAUACUUCUUUGUCUUCCACCACACUGCACCUAUGUCCUGCAGCUGCUGGACGUGGCAUACUUUGGCCCUUUAAAGGCUGAGUUCUCCAAGGUAGCUGGAGACCUCAGCCAUUUUGACCACUCCUACAUUGUAAACAAAUCAGAAUUUGCCAGAGUAUUCCAGAUGAGACCAUUGACUCCAUCGCCUCUGCUGAACCUCCUGCUGGAACCAUUCCUGACAGCUGCAUCGCCAGUGCCUCCCAGUGUCCAACACCUGUAAGAGCAUCCGUAGCCCCCAGCUGCAGAUAAAAGGCCAGAAAAAAUGCAACGUGCCUACACUCCCUGCCACACCAAUACAAACACCAGCCUCCAAACCAUCGUCGGCAGUGUCGCCCACGACCACCAUGAUGCACCCCCCCCAUCUGUCACCACCAAUGCGGCCUCCUCUGGACCAACUGCCUCCUCCGUCUCCCCUGGUCACACCACCAUAGCAGCUUCGUAUGGUGUCCCUGCCCCCUGCAAUUUGAAUACAGCCACCUCCACAGUCCAUAGCACCAGCCCUCAAGGCAUGUCCACCUCCUCCAAAACUUCGGCAGCUUCCUCCAGGGCACAGAAAAGGAAGAGAAAAGCUCCACCUGCCACCUCUGUCACGCUACUCAUGGCAGCACUCUCGGGGAGUGUGAUCCACCUGCAAGCUCCCGCAGGAGUGUAGGUCCGAGGUGCCAUAGGUGUGCUGUGACUUCUGCCAGCACUGGUUCUACUGCAGGUGUGUGCUGUGAAUUCUGCCAGCACUGGUUCUACUGCAGGUGUGUGCAGUGACUUCUGCCAGCACUGGUUCUACUGCAGGUGUGUGCAGUGACUUCUGCCAGCACUGGUUCUACUGCAGGUGUGUGCAGUGACUUCUGCCAGC